AAAGAUUAGUUAAAAAAUAACCUAAGAAUGUCUAUCUUAUAUUACUUUAAAGUAUCUUUUU
Molecule: transfer RNA, 61 nt
Filed under: Glomeridesmus spelaeus
Lineage: Eukaryota; Metazoa; Arthropoda; Diplopoda; Glomeridesmida; Glomeridesmidae
Description: tRNA-Asp
Source: RNAcentral